Molecule: ribosomal RNA, 1978 nt
Filed under: Paralongidorus koreanensis
Lineage: Eukaryota; Metazoa; Nematoda; Enoplea; Dorylaimida; Longidoridae
Description: SSU rRNA
Rfam family: Eukaryotic small subunit ribosomal RNA
Source: RNAcentral
AAUAGCUCAUUACAACAGCCAUCGUUUACUAGAAAAUCGUUGUCCUACUUGGAUAACUGUGGCAAUUCUAGAGCUAAUACAUGCAAAAAAGCUCAAACCGUAAGGAACGAGCGCAUUUAUUAGAAUAAAAACCAAUCGGGUCUAAAAGCCCGCUCUUUGGUGAAUCUGAAUAACUUUGCCGAUCGCACGGUCCUAGUACCGGCGACGUAUCUUUCAAGUGUCUGCCUUAUCAACUUUCGAUGGUAGGUUAUACGCCUACCAUGGUAGUAACGGGUAACGGAGAAUAAGGGUUCGACUCCGGAGAGGGAGCCUGAGAAACGGCUACCACAUCCAAGGAAGGCAGCAGGCGCGCAAAUUACCCACUUCCAGAACGGAGAGGUAGUGACGAAAAAUAACGAGACAGUCCUCUUCGAGGUCUGUCAUCGGAAUGGGUACAAUUUAAAUCCUUUAACGAGGAUCUAUUGGAGGGCAAGUCUGGUGCCAGCAGCCGCGGUAAUUCCAGCUCCAAUAGCGUAUAUUAAAGUUGUUGCGGUUAAAACGCUCGUAGUUGGAUCUGCGGCCUGGGAGAACGGUCCCCCGAAAGGGUGGUAACUGUUACUCUUAGCCUAAAAUUUUAGUCUACUCUACGGUGCCCUUAACCGGGUGCUUAGAGUGACUAGAACGUUUACUUUGAAAAAAUUAGAGUGCUUAAAGCAGGCGAAUUCGCCUGAAUAAGGUGCAUGGAAUAAUGGAAUAGGACCUCGGUUCUAUUUUGUUGGUUUUCGGAGCCCGAGGUAAUGAUUAAGAGGAACAGACGGGGGCAUUCGUAUUCCGGCGCUAGAGGUGAAAUUCUUGGACCGCCGGAAGACGGACGACUGCGAAAGCAUUUGCCAAGAAUGUUUUCAUUAAUCAAGAACGAAAGUUAGAGGUUCGAAGGCGAUCAGAUACCGCCCUAGUUCUAACCGUAAACGAUGACAACCAGCGAUUAGUCGGCGUUAAUAUAUGACCCGACUAGCAGCUUCCGGGAAACCAGUGACUAGAACGUUUACUUUGAAAAAAUUAGAGUGCUUAAAGCAGGCGAAUUCGCCUGAAUAAGGUGCAUGGAAUAAUGGAAUAGGACCUCGGUUCUAUUUUGUUGGUUUUCGGAGCCCGAGGUAAUGAUUAAGAGGAACAGACGGGGGCAUUCGUAUUCCGGCGCUAGAGGUGAAAUUCUUGGACCGCCGGAAGACGGACGACUGCGAAAGCAUUUGCCAAGAAUGUUUUCAUUAAUCAAGAACGAAAGUUAGAGGUUCGAAGGCGAUCAGAUACCGCCCUAGUUCUAACCGUAAACGAUGACAACCAGCGAUUAGUCGGCGUUAAUAUAUGACCCGACUAGCAGCUUCCGGGAAACCAAAGUUUUUCGUUUCCGGGGGAAGUAUGGUUGCAAAGCUGAAACUUAAAGGAAUUGACGGAAGGGCACCACCAGGAGUGGAGCCUGCGGCUUAAUUUGACUCAACACGGGAAAACUCACCCGGCCCGGACACCGUAAGGAUUGACAGACUGAGAGCUCUUUCUUAAUUCGGUGGGUGGUGGUGCAUGGCCGUUCUUAGUUGGUGGAGCGAUUUGUCUGGUUAAUUCCGAUAACGAACGAGACUCUGGCCUAUUAAAUAGCCGGUAUAUAUUGAAAAGUUUACCGCGCUUCUUAGAGGGACAACCGGCGUCUAGCCGCGUGAAAUAGAGCAAUAACAGGUCUGUGAUGCCCUUAGAUGUCCGGGGCUGCACGCGCGCUACACUGAAAGAAUCAGUAUGCGCUUACGCCUAGUUCGGAAGAACCGGGUAACCCUAGCAAAUUCUUUCGUGCUUGGGAUAGGGAAUUGCAAUUAUUUCCCUUAAACGAGGAAUUCCCAGUAAAUGCGGGUCAUAAGCUCGCGUUGAUUACGUCCCUGCCCUUUGUACACACCGCCCGUCGCUACUACCGAUUGGAUGACUUAGUGAGGUCUUAGGACCGAGGUAAAGGAGC